GCCGGGCGAGGUGGCGGGCGCCUGUAGUCCCAGCUACUUGGGAGGCUGAGGCAGGGGAAUCGCUUGAACCCGGGAGGCGGAGCUUGCAGUGAGCCGAGAUCCGGCCACUGCACUCCAGCCUGGGCGACAGAGCUAGACUCUGUCUCAA
RNAcentral lists this small RNA (148 nucleotides) under Papio anubis (olive baboon). RNAcentral describes it as "Metazoan signal recognition particle RNA (ENSPANG00000037295.1)". The record is from Rfam by way of RNAcentral. Lineage: Eukaryota; Metazoa; Chordata; Mammalia; Primates; Cercopithecidae.